AGGUUAAAACUCAAAUGAAUUGACMGGGGCCCGCACAAGCGGUGGAGCAUGUGGUUUAAUUWGAUGCAACGCGAAGAACCUUACCUGGUCUUGACAUCCACAGAAKUUUCCAGAGAUGGAUUGGUGCCUUCGGGAACUGUGAGACAGGUGCUGCAUGGCUGUCGUCAGCUCGUGUUGUGAAAUGUUGGGUUAAGUCCCGCAACGAGCGCAACCCUUAUCCUUUGUUGCCAGCGGUCCGGCCGGGAACUCAAAGGAGACUGCCAGUGAUAAACUGGAGGAAGGUGGGGAUGACGUCAAGUCAUCAUGGCCCUUACGACCAGGGCUACACACGUGCUACAAUGGCGCAUACAAAGAGAAGCGACCUCGCGAGAGCAAGCGGACCUCAUAAAGUGCGUCGUAGUCCGGAUUGGAGUCUGCAACUCGACUCCAUGAAGUCGGAAUCGCUAGUAAUCGUAGAUCA
This 460-nucleotide ribosomal RNA is filed under the name Enterobacter cloacae. RNAcentral's name for it is "bacterial SSU rRNA". The record is from RNAcentral. Lineage: Bacteria; Pseudomonadati; Pseudomonadota; Gammaproteobacteria; Enterobacterales; Enterobacteriaceae.